UUUCUGAUCCCACCACCAGCACGUACUAAUUUUAGCUGAAGCAAAAUUGUCUCCCUAAAUGACUUAUGGCACCCUCUGUGUCGCCGACCAGCUGGGCGGAGGAGCCAAGGAGGGAAGGACCUUAGGGCCCCUUCCAGUCCCUCAAGGGGCUCCAGGAGAGGUGGGCAGGAGUCGUUGGAUGUGAAGGAACAGUUUUAAACCAAAAAUUAGGAGAUUUAGGUGCGGGGCGAAGAUGGCGGCGCAGAGGGAGGCGGAGGCGACGACGAGGACGAGGACGAGGGUGAGGGAGAGGGAACCGGGGAGCCCGGGGGAGGCUUCGGAUCUCUCCCCCAAAGUGGCGGCG
This 343-nucleotide long non-coding RNA is filed under the name Calidris pugnax (ruff). RNAcentral describes it as "lncRNA (ENSCPUG00000001137.1)". Lineage: Eukaryota; Metazoa; Chordata; Aves; Charadriiformes; Scolopacidae. The record is from RNAcentral.